UUUUUUUUUUGCAGGAGUGGAAUGAUCUGAUGGAAAGAACAAAGUUUUAGAGACAGAGGUCCGGCUGUGUGACCUUGAGGGAGGAAGUCCUGUGUCUUUGCCCAGUGGACCCCCAUCUCUGGAUCUGCCCGCAGCUUUGGGAAGUACCCACAGUUCCUGGGAUCACACCACCACCCACGGAGAAAUCCCGGAGCUGCUCUCCUCUGAUGGCCACGGUGACGCUGGACCCCAUUCUUCCUUCCACGGCCCUGGAGACUCUCCCACUCCUUCGUGAAGCCCAUCACAACAUGCCCUG
Long non-coding RNA from Mirounga angustirostris (Northern elephant seal), 295 nucleotides. RefSeq lists it as uncharacterized. The record is from RefSeq and is a predicted model, not a curated record. The transcript is spliced from 3 exons. Lineage: Eukaryota; Metazoa; Chordata; Mammalia; Carnivora; Phocidae.